UACCGUCCUAGUCUCAACCAUAAACGGCGCCGACCAGGGAUCGGCGGAUGUUGCUUUUAUGACUGCACCGGCACCUUAUGAGAAAUCAAAGUUUUUGGGUUCCAGGGGGGAGUAUGGUCUCAAGGUUGAAAUUAAAGGAAUUGACGGAAGGGCACCACCAGGAGUGGAGCAUGCGGCUUAAUUUGACUCAACACGGGGAAACUUACCAGGUCCAGACAUAGUAAGGAUUGACAGACUGAGAGCUCUUUCUUGAUUCUAUGAGUGGAGCCUGCGGCUUAAUUUGACUCAACACGGGGAAACUUACCAGGUCCAGACAUAGUAAGGAUUGACAGACUGAGCGCUCUUUCUUGAUUCUAUGGGUGGUGGUGCAUG
RNAcentral lists this long non-coding RNA (372 nucleotides) under Nicotiana benthamiana. Its description in RNAcentral is "long non-coding RNA (NBEN_LNC038612)". It matches the Rfam family "Eukaryotic small subunit ribosomal RNA", at positions 1013 to 1286 of the family's 1831-position model. Lineage: Eukaryota; Viridiplantae; Streptophyta; Magnoliopsida; Solanales; Solanaceae. The record is from RNAcentral.